GACGGACGCUGGCGGCGUGCUUAACACAUGCAAGUCGAACGGAAAGGCCCCAGCUUGCUGGGGUACUCGAGUGGCGAACGGGUGAGUAACACGUGGGUGAUCUGCCCUGCACUCUGGGAUAAGCCUGGGAAACUGGGUCUAAUACCGGAUAGGACCGUGCUUUAGUGUGUGCGGUGGAAAGUUUUUCGGUGCAGGAUGAGCCCGCGGCCUAUCAGCUUGUUGGUGGGGUAAUGGCCUACCAAGGCGGCGACGGGUAGCCGGCCUGAGAGGGUGUACGGCCACAUUGGGACUGAGACACGGCCCAGACUCCUACGGGAGGCAGCAGUGGGGAAUAUUGCACAAUGGGCGCAAGCCUGAUGCAGAGACGCCGCGUGGGGGAUGACGGCCUUCGGGUUGUAAACCCCUUUCGGCAGGGACGAAGCUUUUGUGACGGUACCUGCAUAAGAAGCACCGGCUAACUACGUG
This 465-nucleotide ribosomal RNA is filed under the name uncultured bacterium. Its description in RNAcentral is "partial 16S ribosomal RNA". It matches the Rfam family "Bacterial small subunit ribosomal RNA", at positions 28 to 507 of the family's 1533-position model. The record is from RNAcentral.